RNAcentral lists this ribosomal RNA (1825 nucleotides) under human gut metagenome. RNAcentral describes it as "bacterial LSU rRNA". It matches the Rfam family "Bacterial large subunit ribosomal RNA", at positions 786 to 2531 of the family's 2925-position model. The record is from RNAcentral.
GCGUUGAAAAGCUUCUGGAUGAGGUGUGUGUAGGAGUGAAAGGCCAAUCAAACUUGGAGAUAGCUCGUACUCCCCGAAAGGCAUUUAGGUGCCGCGUGCUAUGAUUUACAUAAGAGGUAGAGCGACCGAUAGGUCAAGAGGGCUUCACCGCCUAUCGCGACCUGACGAACUCCGAAUGCUUAUGUAUAGCAGUAGUGCAGUAAGGGGGCGGGUGCUAAGGUCCGUCCCCGAGAGGAGAAGAAUCCAGACCGCCGUCUAAGGUCCCUGAAUUCUGUCUAAGUUAGUCUAACGAAGUCCGGUCCCCGUGACAGCUAGGAUGUUGGCUUGGAAGCAGCCAUUCAUUCAAAGAGUGCGUAACAGCUCACUAGUCGAGGGUCUGGGCAUGGAUAAUAAUCGGGUAUAAGACAGAUACCGAAGGCGCGGGAUAGUAAUAAUAAAAGUAUCGGUAGGGGAGCAUUCUAUAUACGUUGAAUGGUUAAGGUAACUUUUCCUGGAGUGUAUAGAAAAGCAAAUGUAGGUAUAAGUAACGAUAAGAAGGGUAAGAUUCCCUUCCGCCGCAAGACUAAGGUUUCCCGGGCAAUGCCAAUCAUCCCGGGGUUAGUCGGGUCCUAAGUCUCAGCCGACAGGCGAGGGCGAUGGCAGACACGGUUAAUAUUCCGUGACUGCUGCAUGAUGCGAUUGUGGAGACGGAGAAGUGACACCACCGCGAGCUGACGGAAUAGCUCGUUGAAGAAAUUAGGCAUUGAUCAUGGUAGGCAAAUCCGCCAUGAGAGCUGAGUUUUGAAAGUAUGGCAUUCCCUUCGGGGAAAGCCAAUAGUGUGGGUAAUCCUGCUUCCAAGAAAAUCCGCUAAGCUUCAGUCAUGCAGCACCCGUACCGCAAACGGACACACGUAGUCGGGUUGAAUAUACUCAGGCGUUGAGAGAUUCAUGGUUAAGGAACUAGGCAAAUUAACCCCGUAACUUCGGGAAAAGGGGUCCUCGUUUACUUACGAGGCGCAGAGAAUAGGUCCAGGCAACUGUUUACCAAAAACACAGGGCUGUGCUAACUCGAAAGAUGAAGUAUACAGUCUGACACCUGCCCGGUGCUGGAAGGUUAAGAGGAGAGGUUAUACGCAAGUAGACGCUUUGAAUUGAAGCCCCAGUAAACGGCGGCCGUAACUAUAACGGUCCUAAGGUAGCGAAAUUCCUUGUCGGGUAAGUUCCGACCUGCACGAAUGGUGUAACAGUAAACGGCGGCCGUAACUAUAACGGUCCUAAGGUAGCGAAAUUCCUUGUCGGGUAAGUUCCGACCUGCACGAAUGGUGUAACGAUGUGGGCACUGUCUCAACCGCGAUCUCGGUGAAAUUGUAGUAUCGGUGAAGAUGCCGAUUACCCGCAACGGGACGAAAAGACCCCGUGAACCUUUACUAUAGCUUUACAUUGUACUUGGGUAUCAGAUGUGUAGGAUAGGCCGGAGACUGAGAGUGGGGCACGCCAGUGCUUCAGGAGUCGCUGUUGAAAUACGGCCCUUUUGAUGUUUGGGUACUAACUUGCGAAUAGCAAGGACACUGUAUGGUGGGUAGUUUGACUGGGGUGGUCGCCUCCAAAAGCGUAACGGAGGCUUCUAAAGGUACCCUCAGGCCGAUUGGUAACCGGUCGUAGAGUGUAAUGGCACAAGGGUGCUUGACUGGGAGACAAACAAGUCGCACAGGUAGGAAACUAGAGCAUAGUGAUCCGGUGGUUCCGUAUGGAAGGGCCAUCGCUCAAAGGAUAAAAGGUACUCCGGGGAUAACAGGCUGAUCGCUCCCAAGAGCUCAUAUCGACGGAGCGGUUUGGCACCUCGAUG